Molecule: transfer RNA, 71 nt
Filed under: Fidelibacterota bacterium
Lineage: Bacteria; Pseudomonadati; Fidelibacterota
Also listed under: 1 other name
Description: tRNA-Gln
Rfam family: tRNA
About the family: Transfer RNA (tRNA) molecules are approximately 80 nucleotides in length.
Source: RNAcentral
UCGGGGGUCGUCUAAUGGCAGGACAGCGGGUUUUGGUCCCGUCAAUAGGGGUUCGACUCCUCUCCCCUGAG